RNAcentral lists this long non-coding RNA (248 nucleotides) under Coffea arabica (coffee). RNAcentral's name for it is "long non-coding RNA (CARA_LNC003278)". The record is from RNAcentral. Lineage: Eukaryota; Viridiplantae; Streptophyta; Magnoliopsida; Gentianales; Rubiaceae.
CACCAAAGCCCAUUGAAACGGCGCUGCAAGUUUGUCUGCAUCUGCUUUAGAAAAAACUACCGCAGCUUCUCCCUUGUAGACAGAAGCCUGCUGAAUGUGGAUAGGAGAUGUUGCCGGCUGAGAAAAAAGUUGAGAAAAAGAUUUUUUUUGGGUAGGUGAUAAUCCUUGCCCCUCAGCCGACGGCUGAAGGGCAGCCAUGAACUAGUUGAGAAAUUAGAGAAAAUAAGAAGAGAGAAGGAAGAGAGUUU